This 419-nucleotide ribosomal RNA is filed under the name bacterium. RNAcentral describes it as "partial 16S ribosomal RNA". It matches the Rfam family "Bacterial small subunit ribosomal RNA", at positions 355 to 776 of the family's 1533-position model. The record is from RNAcentral.
UGGGGGAUACUGCACAAUGGGCGAAAGCCUGAUGCAGCGACGCCGCGUGGGGGAUGAAGGCCUUCGGGUUGUAAACUUCUUUUGCUCUGAACAAGGCGCACCAUGGGGUGUGUUGAGUGUAGGGGUUGAUUAGCGCCGGCUAACUACGUGCCAGCAGCCGCGGUAAUACGUAGGGCGCGAGCGUUGUCCGGAAUUAUUGGGCGUAAAGGGCUUGUAGGUGGCUGGUUGCGUCUGUCGUGAAAGCUCAUGGCUUAACUGUGGGUUUGCGGUGGGUACGGGCUGGCUUGAGUGCAGUAGGGGAGGCUGGAAUUCCUGGUGUAGCGGUGGAAUGCGCAGAUAUCAGGAGGAAUACCGGUGGCGAAGGCGGGUCUCUGGGCUGUUACUGACACUGAGGAGCGAAAGCAUGGGGAGCGAACAGG